Apodemus sylvaticus (European woodmouse) is the source of this 745-nucleotide long non-coding RNA. RefSeq lists it as uncharacterized. Lineage: Eukaryota; Metazoa; Chordata; Mammalia; Rodentia; Muridae. The transcript has 5 exons. The record is from RefSeq and is a predicted model, not a curated record.
GGCUGAGCUGACAAAGGAGCUAGGGGUGUGGCGCGGUGCCCCUCAGAGGCCUGCGGACCUGCUACCUUCUCCGGCCUUCCUCCUGUGAGUGGCUGCGGUGCUGCAGAGGCCCAGCUCAGGCUGCAGAAUUGUGUAACCCGUGACCUCCGGUUCCCCCUCCGCCGCGACUGCACGGCCACCCGGCCCUGCCACCCGCGCUGCUGCAUGGUUCCCUGACUUGUGCGCCCGCCCACGGAUCUGCUUCUGAGUCCCGCCGCCGGCGAUGCCUCCUUCCUCCAGCGCAGAUUAGACAUGGUUGCAGUGUGGUAAGAAACAACAUUUUUUUCAUCCACAUGGAGCAAAUACUUCAUGUUCCCAGAAUACUCCAUCUAACAUCAGCAACAUAAAGGAACUAGAACAUGGACUCAGCAGCUGCCACAGUGGGAGGACAUGGAACCCUGGCCAUUGUGCACUGGUGGAAAGUCCAGUGGCUCCUCUUCUCUAGGAGAGUAUUAUAGGAUAUGUUAUCCAUAAUUGCGGGAAGAGGCCAAAGUUCAUAUCAAAUAUUCAGAUUCAUACCAGAAAAACCACACUGGUCCCUGAGAGAUAAGAUUUAUACUGAACUACAUAUUAACUGUAGUGAAGAAUCUGUGCUCACAGUAGCUUCCGUUUUAAAGUAUUCUACUGAAGAUGCCAUGUACAAAUUACAUCCUGCUAAAACAGCUCAUCUCUGUGCUAUUAAAAUGAAAACCUCUACCAGGAAUCA